AGCAGCCGCGGUAAUUCCAGCUCCAAUAGCGUAUAUUAAAGUUGUUGCAGUUAAAAGCUCGUAGUUGAAUUUCGGGAUUGGCGCAUCGGUCGUGCCUCACGGGGUAUGAACUGGUGCAGUCAAUUUCUCACCUUCUGGAGAACCGCGAUGUCCUUAAUUGGAUGCCGCGGGGAACCAGGACCUUUACUUAGAAAAAUUGAGUGUUUAAAGCAGGCUAUUUUGCUUGAAUACAUUAGCAUGGAAUAAUAAAAUAGGACGGCAUGGUUCUAUUUUGUUGGUUUCUAGGACCUACCGUAAUGAUUAAUAGGGAUAGUUGGGGGCAUUAGUAUUCAAUUGUCAGAGGUGAAAUUCUUGGAUUUAUGAGGACUAACUACUGCGAAAGCAUUUGCCAAGGAUUGUUUUCAUUAAUCAAAGAACGAAAGUUAGGGGAUACGAAGACGAUCAGAUACCGUCUAGUCUUAACAUAAACUAU
This 472-nucleotide unclassified non-coding RNA is filed under the name uncultured Entrophospora. RNAcentral's name for it is "SSU rRNA". It matches the Rfam family "Eukaryotic small subunit ribosomal RNA", at positions 569 to 1040 of the family's 1831-position model. Lineage: Eukaryota; Fungi; Glomeromycota; Glomeromycetes; Entrophosporales; Entrophosporaceae. The record is from RNAcentral.